Molecule: ribosomal RNA, 253 nt
Filed under: uncultured bacterium
Lineage: Bacteria
Description: partial 16S ribosomal RNA
Rfam family: Bacterial small subunit ribosomal RNA
Source: RNAcentral
UACGAAGGGGGCUAGCGUUGCUCGGAAUCACUGGGCGUAAAGGGUGCGUAGGCGGGUUUUUAAGUCAGGGGUGAAAUCCUGGAGCUCAACUCCAGAACUGCCUUUGAUACUGAAGAUCUUGAGUCUGGGAGAGGUGAGUGGAACUGCGAGUGUAGAGGUGAAAUUUGUAGAUAUUCGCAAGAACACCAGUGGCGAAGGCGGCUCACUGGCCCGGUACUGACGCUGAGGCACGAAAGCGUGGGGAGCAAACAGG